This 438-nucleotide ribosomal RNA is filed under the name uncultured bacterium. Its description in RNAcentral is "partial 16S ribosomal RNA". It matches the Rfam family "Bacterial small subunit ribosomal RNA", at positions 338 to 795 of the family's 1533-position model. The record is from RNAcentral.
CCUACGGGUGGCAGCAGUGGGGAAUAUUGCACAAUGGGCGAAAGCCUGAUGCAGCAACGCCGCGUGAGCGAUGAAGGCCUUCGGGUCGUAAAGCUCUGUCCUCAAGGAAGAUAAUGACGGUACUUGAGGAGGAAGCCCCGGCUAACUACGGGCCAGCAGCCGCGGUAAUACGUAGGGGGCUAGCGUUAUCCGGAAUUACGGGGCGUAAAGGGUGCGUAGGUGGUUUCUUAAGUCAGAGGUGAAAGGCUACGGCUCAACCGUAGUAAGCCUUUGAAACUGGGAAACUGGAGGGGAGGAGAGGAGAGGGGAAGUGCUGGUGUAGCGGUGAAAGGCGUAGAUAUAGGAGGAACACCAGUUGCGAAGGCGGCUCUCUGGACUGUAACUGACACUGAGGCACGAAAGCGUGGGGAGCAAACAGGAUUAGAUACCCUGGUAGUC